Molecule: ribosomal RNA, 253 nt
Filed under: uncultured bacterium
Lineage: Bacteria
Description: partial 16S ribosomal RNA
Rfam family: Bacterial small subunit ribosomal RNA
Source: RNAcentral
UACGAAAGGUGCAAGCGUUACUCGGAAUCACUGGGCGUAAAGCGCACGUAGGCGGACUUACAGGUCAAUUGUGAAAUACCUGGGCUCAACCCAGGAACUGCAGCUGAAACCGUUUGUCUUGAAUACUUGAGAGGGUGGGGGAAUACCUGGUGGAGAAGUGAAAUUCGUAGAGAUCAGGUGGAACACCGGAGGCGAAGGCGCCUGCCUGGCAAUGUAUUGACGCUGAGGUGCGAAAGUGCGGGGAGCAAACAGG